Molecule: long non-coding RNA, 165 nt
Organism: Sapajus apella (tufted capuchin)
Lineage: Eukaryota; Metazoa; Chordata; Mammalia; Primates; Cebidae
Exons: 3
Source: RefSeq, a predicted model, not a curated record
UGGCCAGGGUUGCAUUAGCCGGAGCCUUCUAGGGGAGCCAUGUGGCAGAGCUAGGUGCCCAAUGCAGAGCCUGGUGCCUGGUGCAGAGUCAGGUGUUGAGUGCAGAGGUAGGUGUGUCCGGCCUCCUGGGGAGGCAACCGGCCUUACAGCUUAAUCUUAUUUUAU